UGUGAUAGACGAGGGGAGAGGGGAGGUUGUAUUAAUAAUAAUAUUACAUUGUCAUUUGUUUUUACUACUACCUAUUUUCUUGUGACGGGAGCAGGAAAAUAAGUGUAUUGAAUAAAAGGCCAGUCUGCAUUUUGUCUUUAUUGCUCUAUAUUAAGUUGAUAUUGACUUUUAUCCAAGUGAAACACAUACCCUGGAGAAGUAUUAUAUAGGCACCAGGUCCUUGGUGUUCCAGUUGGCCACCAGGUCCUUGGUGUUCCAGUUGGCCACCAGGUCCUUGGUGUUCCAGUUGGCCACCAGGUCCAGUUCAGGGUCCGUCAUUAAAGCUGCUAACUAACAUGUUGGAUCCACGCUAAAAUACUGAUAGAUAUCGAUCUUUCUUGUUUCUGUGACGAAGGUCUGGAUCCUGUUGGCUUGGGCAGGAUACUUGCAGCGGAGUUCUGUCAG
Non-coding RNA from Procambarus clarkii (red swamp crayfish), 444 nucleotides. The record is from RefSeq and is a predicted model, not a curated record. Lineage: Eukaryota; Metazoa; Arthropoda; Malacostraca; Decapoda; Cambaridae.